AAAGUCUGAAAUAAUAAACAGCUGAGAUUCUGACCUGGGAAUAGGGGCAAGGAGGAAGGCAGGAGCAUGCGCUAUGUCCCAGACAAAACCCAAAACCUUCUUGGUCAGCUACAAAGCUAUUGUCUGUGAAAACUGCAGCAACAUGUCAGAAGUGUGCAACUGUCCCCAGUUCACUACCCUGUAAAAGAUGUGUGGCCAAAAAAGGGAAAAAAAAUCGAGGAAUGCCUGCCUUAUUCAGCCUCCUACUCUUCCCCACUCCAACAUCCAUGUACUACCCCCCCCCCCCCGCAUGAUCCCAAUUUCAUUCUACACAUUGAUAAGUUGAUACAUUGAGAAAACUCCACCCCAUGGAAAACAAUGGAAUGAAAAGGAAAGUCAGAGAAAGCCCUUUCAGCUCAUGAACAAUAUGGCUAUAUCAGCCUAAAUACCCUGCAGCCAUG
RNAcentral lists this long non-coding RNA (440 nucleotides) under Monodelphis domestica (gray short-tailed opossum). RNAcentral describes it as "lncRNA (ENSMODG00000035373.2)". The record is from RNAcentral. Lineage: Eukaryota; Metazoa; Chordata; Mammalia; Didelphimorphia; Didelphidae.